UCGCGGAAACAAAAGCGCAAGAAGACCUGAAUUAUUUAGACAAGUACAGGAGUCUUUCAGUUUUAAAAUAGUUUGUAAAUCCUGAAGUGUCCUCACUGACAUGAAUUAUCUUGUCAGUCUAUAUAUAAAUCAAGGCACCAGCUGCUUCCAUCUUCCAUCCAUGUAGCAUUUUGGCAUAGGACACACGUGAAAUGAGGGCUCCUGUGUCUCUCUGCUAUUUGACGACAUGGAAAUGCCGGCUAAGAGGCUCUGGGGUGGCUCCUGGAUCCUAGGCCAGGGAAGAGCUGGGGCACGUGCUGCAUGGGAUGCUGGUCCAUCACAGGACAGGGACAAGAUGAAAGGACAGAUGAAAAUGAAGAAUGUAUCCUGAGAAGACGCCAAUGAAUGCUGAGAAUGUUUG
Long non-coding RNA from Paramormyrops kingsleyae, 400 nucleotides. RefSeq lists it as uncharacterized. The record is from RefSeq and is a predicted model, not a curated record. Lineage: Eukaryota; Metazoa; Chordata; Actinopteri; Osteoglossiformes; Mormyridae.